AGUGAACGCUGGCGGUAGGCCUAACACAUGCAAGUCGAACGGCAGCACAGUAAGAGCUUGCUCUUACGGGUGGCGAGUGGCAGACGGGUGAGGAAUACAUCGGAAUCUACUUUUUCGUGGGGGAUAACGUAGGGAAACUUACGCUAAUACCGCAUACGACCUACGGGUGAAAGCAGGGGAUCUUCGGACCUUGCGCGAUUGAAUGAGCCGAUGUCGGAUUAGCUAGUUGGCGGGGUAAAGGCCCACCAAGGCGACGAUCCGUAGCUGGUCUGAGAGGAUGAUCAGCCACACUGGAACUGAGACACGGUCCAGACUCCUACGGGAGGCAGCAGUGGGGAAUAUUGGACAAUGGGCGCAAGCCUGAUCCAGACAUACCGCGUGGGUGAAGAAGGCCUUCGGGUUGUAAAGCCCUUUUGUUGGGAAAGAAAAGCAGCAGGUUAAUACCCCGCUGUUCUGACGGUACCCAAAGAAUAAGCACCGGCUAACUUCGUG
Molecule: ribosomal RNA, 492 nt
Filed under: uncultured bacterium
Lineage: Bacteria
Description: partial 16S ribosomal RNA
Rfam family: Bacterial small subunit ribosomal RNA
Source: RNAcentral